RNAcentral lists this ribosomal RNA (363 nucleotides) under uncultured bacterium. RNAcentral's name for it is "bacterial SSU rRNA". It matches the Rfam family "Bacterial small subunit ribosomal RNA", at positions 28 to 390 of the family's 1533-position model. The record is from RNAcentral.
GAUGAACGCUAGCGGGAGGCCUAAUACAUGCAAGUCGAACGGUAAGGUCCCUUCGGGGAUACACGAGUGGCGGACGGGUGCGUAACGCGUACGAAACAUACCUUCAACAGGGAGAUACCUCCGGGAAACUGGAAAUAAUACCCCAUAGUAUUGUGACAUCGCAUGAUGUUACAAUUAAAGACUUUGGUCGGUUGAAGAUUGUCGUGCGUCUGAUUAGCUAGUUGGUGAGGUAACGGCUCACCAAGGCGACGAUCAGUAGCUGGUCUGAGAGGAUGAUCAGCCACACUGGAACUGAGACACGGUCCAGACUCCUACGGGAGGCAGCAGUAGGGAAUAUUGGACAAUGGGCGGAAGCCUGAUCCA